Erinaceus europaeus (western European hedgehog) is the source of this 115-nucleotide small nuclear RNA. RefSeq annotates it as U5 spliceosomal RNA. The transcript has a single exon. The record is from RefSeq and is a predicted model, not a curated record. NCBI's taxonomy places the organism in Eukaryota, Metazoa, Chordata, Mammalia, Eulipotyphla, Erinaceidae.
AUACUCUGGUUUAUCUUUAGAUCAUAUAAAUCUUUUAACUUUUACUGAAUAUUUCCCUGUAGAUAAACAAUUCUGAGUCUUUACCUAAUUUUUUAAGCCUUCUUUUUUAUAAGGA